Molecule: long non-coding RNA, 15631 nt
Organism: Felis catus (domestic cat)
Lineage: Eukaryota; Metazoa; Chordata; Mammalia; Carnivora; Felidae
Exons: 23
Source: RefSeq, a predicted model, not a curated record
UUUUUUUUUUUUGUAUGGAUUGCCUAUUCUGGCUCAGGAUGAGUUCAGUUUACUGUGAAAGUCUUUACCAGGCUUACUCAGUGGGAACGAAAGCUGUCCGUAACCACUGAAGGCAAGAGAGAAGUUCUAAAUUAGUUCCCGUUUAAAUUCUCCCUUCUCAUUUGUCUCUCUUUAGAAUACUUGCAGUGGCACAGAGCAGUGCAUAUAUACAGUAUGUACAAUAUGCUAAUUCCUUUCAUUGCCCUUGUCUAGGAAGCUACAAAUGUCUUCUCAGUGUGAGCUUCCUGCUGUCUACAAAAAAUUAAUAGAUGAAACCCAGGGAAGUCCCCAUUGUAAUAACAGUUGUGCCAACAAUUAUUAUGGCUUAUUAGAAUAGUGUUGAAUUGCACCACUGACCUAUGAAAAUCACCAUGAAUGGCACUGAAAGGCAAAGCUAUUGAAGAUUAAAACAAUUAUGUUACCUUCUAAUAUCAAGGCCUUUUUGAUGUACCACAUAAGAGUCUUUAGAGCAUAUAACUUUUUUCUCCUAAUCUUUCUGAAAGAAAUUUUUAAUCUAGGUUUGUUUAAAGGUUUUCGGACUUGAGUCAAUAACAUAAACCAUGAGUUGUGGACUAAGGUCAGCAAGGAGGAUAUUUGCUACAGCAAAGCCACCACUGUAACUCUGCCUUGGAUUUAAGAGUGUAAAAAUACCACAGUGGACUCAAGUUCUGCAGGAAGGUCAAGGCUCUGGACCUGCGUGAAUCCCAGGCAAUCUGAUUCAGCACCCACCCCUGCUCUCCCCCAAGGUGUACUUUCCAUCACCAAAGUGUCUGGACAUUGGUGAUUAUUCUAGGAAGUAUCCUCUUAGUGAGGCUUUAACUUUUAGUAAAAUGAUAUGCAAAUGGCUAUGUGCACAAUGGUGGAGACAGAGGAAGGAGGUACUGCUUGAGCUGAGCUGGAGCUUUCUGAUGAUCAGGUGCGGAAGAGACAUAGGAUGAUUGGGAAAGAGCCAAUGAGGAAAUAUUCUUGGAGACAGAAAACAGACACUUAAGAUGUUCAAACUUUGACCAGCAACAGGAGAGGAGCACAGAUUUUAGAGAAGCAGGCAGAACACAUUAUGAUCUAUCCGUUAUUCUUUUUCAGUAAUUUCUAAAAAAGCAGUCAUUCCAAAAUAUGACAAACUUGACUCCUUUAAGGGAGGCCUGGAAUGAGUGACAGUUAUAGAAUUUCUCUCCAGGAUAUCAUGGUUGAGCUUCCAUUUUAAGGCCUCCUUUUGUACACUUUGCAUUAUUUUUCUGGAUCCCCAAAGGAAGGGGGUCAAAAUAUAUAUAUGGAUGUUUUAAGUAUGAUCUUUUCAGGUUAGAUUUUUAGGAAACAUGCACACACAAUAACAAUCUUAAGUUCUACUUUCCGAGAUCUCUUUAUAAGCAAAGUCACUUGCUGACUCUCCAUUUCUGCACCAAUUCAAACAAGAGCCAGGAAGGGUGCUCCGGAGGGACUUGGGAUGAUGUCUACGUUAUCUGUGCUUUUUAUGAGGUUUUAUGAGCCAUACUGAGAUUUUGAAACUAUCUUCUAAAACCCAAACUCACUCAUAACUAGUAGUUACUUUGGCUUAAUUCAUACUCAGUUUUCAAACCAACAGACUGUGUCAUUAAUAUAUAACUCAGUACUGAUACACGAUGAUGUAGUAUUAAGGCAAAUGGUCCAGAGCUAAUCAAUUAAAAGGGUCCAAGGUCAUUCUAGAGGCCCUGCGCCAGUCAAGCAAAGCAGAGUGACUGUUGGUUUUUUGAAAGAACGGGAAAACCUGAUUAGAAAUCUCGCUGAUUGUGGAGAGCCUGCCUGAAGUUCAGUUAUGCCAGGAAAGAAUAUUUGCAAGGAUUAAUUUUCCUUCAAAUUACAUUUUAAUUCCAAACAGUGAACAUUUCUGUCCAUACAUCAGAAUGUACAGGGCCCACAUGAAACCUGCCGUUUAAGCUUUUUCUUGUGAAGAUGCAGAGUUUGACAGUGGGCCUAUCAAACCUGAACAUGCACCAGAAUCCUCCUCAAGACCUUGUCAAAACCCACAUUGCUCGGUCCACUUCCAGAAUUCGAUUCAUAGGUCUGGGCUGGGGUCUCUGGUAGAACCAGAGAAGUUGUAUAAAUAACAAAUUUCAAAAUUGUUGCUGAUACUGUUUUGUUGGGGACCAAAUGUUAAGUGUCACUGUAUAGCUUAUUCUAGAACACACUACAGUUUUCCAAAUCACCUUAAUUGUGCUCCCAGGACGAAGCUUUUCCAUGUGGAACGUGAAAGUCGGUAUUGGAUUUUUUCCCCCCGAUGUUUUUGUAACGUAGGUAAGGGACAGAUUUGAUAGAUGCUGAUUUAAUAUUAAAGAAAGGAUCUGAAGUUUAAGUGCCUUAUCUGCUUAUACAACAAACCUGUAAGUGAAAUGUAACCAAACUCUAACCUAUGACCUCUGAAGGGAAUGUUUUUCCAUAUCAUCAAAUUUGAGUCUCUAAAAGGCUUUUUGGAGAAAACUCUACAGUUUCUCUUCUGAGGGUAGUAUUUUAGCAGUACCAUGAAGUUCGUCACCACACAGGUGAUAUUCCCUCUAUUAUUUCAGGGUGGUUAACAUAAUAGCUCCUUCAUAGUUUUUUACUGAACACAAAGGUUGAUUGUUUUGUUUCUAGUAAAAUCCUCUUUAAAGUACAUCAAAUCUAAGGGCCUAUAUGCAUGAGUACACAGAGGGCAAGAUCAUCAAGGGAAAAAUCCGAGAAAUUCAUUUGAUGGGGAAUUGAACAAGAUGUCAGCGCACUUAGAGAUUUGCAGUUUGUUUGACAAGUGGAGCUGGGUCAGUUCAGGAGGCUGGAUUGGUACAAGGACUUGAGGAGGAAGAGACAUGAGGGUCUGAAUGAGCAGCCGUCUAUGCAGAAGGGGGACUCGGUCUACUCACAGGCUCUCUCUGCCUUACAGCAAGCACCCACCACUGAUGGACAGAGCUACCUAGAUGGCUUAAGGCAGUCAUCUUUGGAAAAUGCUUCUGGUGCAGAUUUGUGUAAAAAAGACAGAAAAUCCUACCUUUCCAAUUUAGGAUCUCCUGAUCAAAUAUGAAAUGGGGGUCAAAUUCAAUGUGAGGGACUUAUCAAAAUAUAAGAAUCCCAUGCCUACUGCAACUGAACAGCGGCUCUAUAUAACAGUUAGUGAUGAGAAGGAAAAAUAAAAUUUUAUCCCUCAGUGGAAGUCAGAGCUACUAAUAUAGUUAUAAAAUAAUGUUACCUAUUUUAAUUUUUUUCUCUCGACAGGCUCACAAGAUCACUUGAUCUGUUACAGUGUUGGGAACAUUUGUUUACUUUUCCCCCGACAAAUUUGGCCCUGUGCCUCAAUGCUAAUAAAGCUGGAAUAUACGACUUAUGAUGUUGAAAUGGUUUUGCCAUUUCUAAUGACAUACUAACUGGGAUUCCUUCAAGAGAAAGCUUACAUUUAUUCCACUAAAACAUCCUUUGUUUAUAAUGACUUCAGAGUUGGGAUGCUAGUGUAUUGGCCAGGAAGAAGAAAAUGCAAGCUUGGACUCCUUUAAGUCACAAGUACAGAAGAUGCACUUUUAAAGGCCCAUUCGUCUCCCUGGCUUCAUUCCUACUCAGGAACUGCAGGUACAAUCAGAGGAGUCUGGAUGUUGAAAGUAACAGGGCUCAAAAUAGCCUUUUACAUAAAAAAAAAAAAAAAAAAAAAAAGAACAAACCACUAUCUACCAUCUGUCCCAGACAGAGAAGAAAUGAAAUAAAUACUUUGGGGGCAGGGCAGGGGUGGGUGUCAGGGAGGUGGAGGCUCUCAAAGCCUGGGCACAUCAAAUCUGGCCACUGCUCUACACCUUUCUCCUUCGCCCUCCUGAAUCAAGAGGUGAUUCUUUAGAGGCCUCUGGUGUAUUCCACGUGGCUAAUUUUCCAUGAAGAUAGUUGGUAGUUUGCCUGCUGUCCUCUCAGUAGCUUUAACUUCCCAACGAACUGUUAUUGCUUCUUAGAAACGAAUGUGCAAGUCCAUGAACAAUAAGCCAGUUUCUCCUUUUAUCCCUAGUAAAAUCAAACUCACAACACAAACGUUACAACUCAGGUGAAAAGGAGACUCACUUAUAUCUUCAAUGUCCAGUCAACGUUGCUGAAUGGGAGAACAGUAUACGCUAUACUCUACUAUAUACAGAUACGCUUAUUUUGUUUUUCAUCCAUGCACUGCGUAACAGGUAUCACGACAACAUUCCCCAACAGGCACACGAAGAAGGAGCAAAUGUUCAGUCAUGACUGGAACAGGAUUGUGCAAGCCAUGGAUACUUUCAAAAAUAAAGCUGACAAAUGAUCCCAGGCAACAGCGAACAUGGGACUGGGACACACAUGAUGCAAAUGGAAAACGAUGAUGUGCUUUUUUGAAUGGGGUUAUUCCUGUUUGCCUGAGAGAUGGUGGGCAGGAGGAGGAGGAUUGGGAUGGGGGACCUGGGGGUUAGCCAGGCUGGAAAAUCAGAAUAAGGGCCUUGCUAAUCAUAGUCCAGACCUGAAGAGAUAAGAAAUAAAUGAUUUUGCACGUUCUUGGGAAUCUAGGCACGUUAUUCCUGUACCUGUUAAACAAGACUGUCAGGCAUCAUAUCUUUAAAUGUCAGACUGUAUCUAGAGCCAUCACUUCUCCUGGCUCCAUUCAAGCGCCCAUGCUUCUUCUUGGAGGCAGCUUUAUCUCUACUCAUGUCCCAGAGAGAAGCACGAAAUUUAGUGAUCGAGCGAAGACCUGCCUCUUCUUCAGCGCCCAUGUCCUUUCUGAAUCCCAAAUAAUUUGUCAAGCGUUUGGAAGAAAGGGCAAUUGUAACGAUUUAAAUUUUUACCAAAAACCCAUUUGCACUUAGAUUGGUCAUCACCUCCCGCAAGGGAAACAGAAACUUUGACCCUCCCAACAAAAUAAUACAAAAUAAAAGUCAAACGUCAGCCACCUCCCAGCCCCCACCAAAAACAAGCGGAAACAGAAAACAAAUCAAAGACUUAAUGAUUUAUGAACCUGGAGAGAACACAGUCCUUCUAGGCUGAGCUGCAAAGAUGCCCCUGCCUCCGUGCCUCGUUCAAAGUGGCGAUGCCCCCUGGGAAUAAGAGGUGAUGGUUUCUCACUUCCGCCCUAGUACAGAGUAUGCUCUUGAAGCUGGGUUCCAUCAGCAGGUAAGUGAACAUGACAAAUGUCAGUUUCCUCUGUUCAUUAUACAUAAUAUUUUAUGUAUAUAUUUAUAUACGUAUAUAUAUAUAAAUUUACUAUAUCUGAUUGUUCCUUUAGAAGCCUUUUAUGUGGCAGUAGGCCUCCAGGGAGGAGAAGAAAAUGUACAAGAGCCAUAGGAGCACGAAGAGGCAGGAUGUGAGGAGCUUGGCAGUCCGGGGCCCACCCAGCUCACCUCCGAUCUCCGGCCUUCGCCGAUACAGCAGCACCCCCACAUUGAUGAAAGCAAAAAUGGUGAAGAGAGUGACAGAGAAAGCUAGCGUGCCAGGGGACACUUUGAACUGUUCCCCGUUGGCUGCGUGGUAGAUGGCAGCGAUGGACCAGGCCACGCCGAUUCCCAGGAAGACGUUCACCGCGUUGCUGCCAGUGACGUUACCUAUGGAUGCAUCUGCGUACUGGUCCUGGGUGGCGGCCACUUUGCUUGCAAACGUAUCUGUGGAGGAAGAAAAAAAAAGGCAGUGACACUCAAUAUUUUAGGUCCGUGGAGCACUGGAAGCUUCCGCGAUGUACUCUAGGGUCAAAUCCCCUGACGGAAACCUCGUGACCAGGAGGAGGUUUUCCUCUUCUCUGGAGUUCCCCUCCUGUGGUCAGAACAAUGGGAUCUAGACAUCAGAAGUCAAAUGUUUGGUGUUGGCUGUGUUACCAGAUGAUCUUGGGUCAAUUUCUUUGCCCACAGGCAGCACAGUUCUUUGUGAAACUGAGCUUGCAGGGCAGCAUUUUUCAGAGUGAUCGUGACCCGUCUACAUUAGAAUCACGUGGGGUCCUCAAGCGUGAAUGGUACAAGGUUCCAUCCAGCUGGGCUGCAUCAGAAUCACCGGGGCCCAGGAAUCUGCUUUAACAACAUCCCAAGAGAUUAUAGGUCACUAAAGCUUGUGAAUGGCUAUUGGAGGGAAUUGCUACAAGGUUCUGUAUCGACAGCUCUAGGUUACAGACGAGGAAGCUAAGGUGUCAGGAGAUCUUUCCAAAGAUUCAAGAGCAAAUCCUCAGUGGAACUGAAGCUAAUUGAACCAUAAUAAUAGCUGGCAUUGGCCUAGAGCCUUAGGGAUAGGAAAGCCGACUCACCUACAUUACUGCACUGAUUGUGACAAUUCUAUGAGGGGGCACACUUUAUAGGUGAGGACACUGGGCUUCUGGACAAUAAGUGAUGGGUGCAAUAUCACGCAACAAGGGAGAAGCCAUCUCGGGGCUUGCGCUGGGACCUCCCACCGUCACUGCAGGCAGCAUCGUACCUUUCACUAUGCCAUGCGUACUAGUGGCCAUUCUCAAAGCUUUGAUUUCGCCAGUAAUCCCGAGUGCAUCUUCUUCUGAAGAUAGGAAAAUCGUGGACAAAUACAAGGAGUAGGACAAGUGACUGAUAUUCACGAUGAGUAGAGCAUAGGGCAUGUUUGUGCCAUCAAAUCCUGUCGUCACAACUGAACGUGUGACCCCAGGUGGAUUACUUAAUUUCUCAAGCCUCAAUUUUCCAAUCUGUGAAAUGGGGAUAGUGACACCCACCUCAGGGUGCUGUUGAAAUGCUAUAGCACGGAUGCUAUGAAAGACCAAAGGAGGAAGGAAAUUUACUUAAACUCGUAGAAUUCUGGCUCCACCAUUUGCCAGGUGAAGUGCAAGAGGUCAAGGAAUUACUGAUGUUGACGGAUUAAUGACCAGUUAGGAGUUGUAAAAACGGAAAAAGGGAAGAACACUUCAAUGAGAUUUCUGCCCAUAAAAGCUCCCUGAAAGAGUGUAAAAAAGAAAUGGAGAUGGUGACGUGACUUAUUUUUAGAAGGGAACAGAGGCUCCUACUCCUGCUCAGAGACCUAGAAAAUGGCUUGAUUUCCAGAGUUUCCAGUAAGUCUGCAGAACGUGACUGCUGGGAGAACAUCCCCGAUAUGCCCUUCCUGAUCCUGACCCCCGUGCCUGGUCAGCCGUGUAUCACAGGAAGCUUUGGUCUCGGCCCAGAAUGACCAAACCUCUUUUAAAUUUUUACAGGAGAUGCAUUUGGUAGGACCACCGGCUGCGUUUCCAGAGAGGCUUUGCAAUGAGCAUGCACUGAAGAACAAAGGAAGGACUGUACAUCUCUGAGUCACCUCAGGAAAUGUACAUUUGUUCCAGUCAGACUACUUGUUGCUUUACAUGGGCAGAGGUGACGUCCAGAUACCUGCUCUUGCAAGAACAUUGAUUGAAGCCUCACUUCAGUGUGCUCCAAGUCUCCGUGUCCCUCCUUUGAUUGGAUCGGUGGGCUUAUUCUCACACUAGUGACUGGGUAGUUGAGACACUCCUCUGAAGAGGUGACCUGGAAGCUGAUACCUUAAUGAAAGAAAGACACAGUGUAGAUGGAGAAGAAUGCCAUGUUUGAAGACAUGUGCUUCAUCUAGAAACUCCAAGGCAGUCUCUGAAAUGUGCAGAAUCCAUGAAGGCUACCUUGCCCAAUUUCCACCUCCCUCAAAUCUCACAAGGACAGCCAACUUAUUGGGUGCCAGGAGCAGAGUAUUUCCAAGAAGCCUUCAAGAGUUACUGAACUCAACAUAUGGGAGUCUUAAAUCAUCCAGGAUCUUAGGUCUGAUACCUGUCGUUCAACGACGAUAGAUAGAACAUCUCAGGAAAUUCUAUUUUGGCUGCCCUGCCUGACGGAGACUUUGGCACAAGGGUGGUAUAAACUUCCUGUCCUUCCUCAUGAAAACUAGGCCGUGGAAACAGAUAUAAAAUCAAAGAACACAAAGAAAUUGGCUUCUUUGUUCAAAUAUUUUCUAAAAAUAUGUAAGUACAAAUCAACUAAAAAAAAUCUAGCUUUAAGGAUACUGCUAUUUAUUUUUCCUUUUUACUGUAUAUAUUAGAAAACUGUCAAUUCUAUAAGGAUCAAAACAUUUUGGAGCAUAAGGCUGGCUAGGCCUUAAGCAAGGCCUAAAGUCGUGUCUACCUCUUGUCCCUUGGAAAUGUCAUAUUUGAUGAUAUGAAAAAUCUUAGGCCAAAUGGAUGCUACAGUGUGUACAACAGUAUUCUUCAAGGGUCUUUGCUCUUAUUAAAUAUCUAUUUUUUGAAAACUGGGUUGUCGAAAGGAGCCUAAUUACUGAAUUAUCUCAAAAGUUCCUAUUAGUUGCCAUUAGACUAAUGGCAUUAGUUAUAAGUCAUUACUUAUUAGUCAUUACUAAUAAGCAUUAUCACUAAGUUUUUAUGACUAAUGUUCAAGGGGAGAUUUGGUAGUCAGAAGCACAUUUUAGAACAAUCCCUGAAUAGUGAAUAACUGAACACAGAAAUCAUGCUUUUAGAUCAUCACUUCUGAUUUACAGAAAUCUCUUAUGGUAUUUCUUAAGUCUGCAUUUCAAUCCAGGUUAGUGGGCGUUUCCUGAAGAGAGGGGGCAUUUCUUGGUGCACUUGUGAGUGAGGGAAGGGGAUGAAAUUGCUAAAGCUUCCAAGGAAAUAAAGGAUAGUACUUGGAGCCGAGGAAGAGGAGAGAGUUAAGUGUGAGAGUAGGAGACACGGAGAGAGAAGAGUACAAUUUCUCGCUGGUAUGUCUUUGUAUACUCUCACACCUGUCAUUCCUCUUCUUAUCCAUUUUGGUUCCUCAAGCACAAGGGAGAAACUGCACUCUUUCUCAUAUUCCUCACGGUCAAAUAUUCUAAUGGUAAUGAUCUUCCUGUGGGAACACAAGACAAAGGCAAAACAAAUGGUUGGCGUCACACGCUCAUGCUAGGUGUUCACCAAGCUGCAUGUUACUGUGAUGUUAUGAAGGUUGAACUGGCAACACAUGGACCUCCAGAAGUAUGUAAAAGGGCAUCACGGCUACUCCCAGCUGGCCCCGGUGACGUUUUCUUCCAAUUUACCACUUACACCAUUUCUUCCUGCUUCACUUAGCUGUCAGGAAGUACCCCAACUUAGGAAGAGAGAUCAGAAAGUUGGCUUCGUUUUGGCCUGGCAAACAUUAGCACCAUCUUUCCCAGAAAUGAAGGCCUGAUUGACUGCACUGAACAUUCGUUUCUCAGCCCUGCAGCGUGCAGAGUGGCCAGAAUUGGCUGAUGGAGCUACAGGUUGGGACCGCUGUGGCCCCCGGGGGUGAGAUCUAUGCCCUGUUACAUAGGUGGAGGGAUGUGUGUGUUGUGAGUCACGUCUGAAGAGUGCAGGCAUCCAGGGGUGGCACAGGCCAGCAAGAAGCUGUUGGGCUCAGCCCUGGAGCAGCUCCCCCACCUUUCUUCUCACUCAUCUCCACCAGGCGGGGCUCUCCAAUCUCAAGGAAGAAGGUCUUGUUUUUCUCAUACUCCUCAUCAUCAAUUACCUUGACUGAUAUUGUUUUGCUGAAACAGAGAAGAGUAGAAAUUGACGAACAAGGGAAAGAGAAGGAACAUAGAGAAGAGGAAAGCAAGGUUAACGAGCUGCACUUCCAGACAAACUUCUGUACUUCCAGAGAACCUUCCGUACUGUGACUUUGUUCUUCCAGAAUGGGUGUGGGUUAUUGAUCAAAGCCAUCAAGUUGCAUUUAGACCUAUGUAUGACAAGGAGCUUCAGUGUUCUUUCCUAGUAUUAAAUAAAGUCCCAACCCAUCCUAUGUGUAAUCCCACGUUUUUUGAUUUGCAUAAAUAGAGCACCAUAGAGACGACUGGAGUAGCCUGGCUAACCGGGUAAGUCUGUUAAGAAAAAACUACCAGUUUUCUUCCCAAAAAGCAACAUGAUCACUCAUUCACAAAUGAAUAGAAGUAACCAAAUAACAUUGUUUCGUAUCCUUUGUGAAUUUAAUCCUCUAUUGUUGUAGCAGCUUUAUUUUCUAUACUCUGGAGUAUGAGAAAUAUAAAAUCCCACACAAUUUGUAUAAUAAAAUAAACACUGAAAAUUUACCUUUAGAUUAUCAAUAUUUACUAGGUCCAUAAUCCUUAGAAAAUGUUUCAGGAUUUGAUAACUGUAAGACUGGAAAAUCAAAGAUGAGGAAAAAGAAAACAGUACCUCUGUAGGUGCCUGGCAAAGACACCUAAAAUAGAUGGGAUUUGCAUAAUGGCAUAUUAUUUCAAAAUCAUUAAUAAUACCAUCAAUAGUAUCCCUGACAGGAGGAACCAUUAAAUUAUAAAUUGAUUUUGGUGCUCUUGCAUAGUAAAACUAUUAAUAGGCAACUUGAUUAUUGAAGGACAUUUCAGUCCAUUUAAAGAGGCAGGAUAAAGCUAAUCCUUAUGAAUUAGCCCUUGAAAUCAAGAGAGGCAAAAAUCAGAAGAGAUUGCUAAUGUUCACCUUUCACUUCUCCCCCUAGCAAAGGUAGCAAAGGUGAAAAUGACUAAACAUAAUUUGAGAGAGAAAGAGAGAGCGAGCACGAGCAGAGGAGGGGCAGAAGGAGAGGGAGAAUCUUAACCAGGCUUCAUACUCAGCGCAGAGCCCAGCCCAGAGUCUGACUUGGGGCUCGAUCCCAGGACCAUGAGAUCAUGACCUGAGCUGAAAUCAAGAGCCAGAAGCUUAACCGAUUGAGCCACCCAGGCACCCCCUAACCAAUGUAAUUUUUAACGGAACUUAUCCUUAGGCUGUCCUUUGCUCACUUUUCAGAGCCUAAUGCCACUUCUUCCAUCACAGGGGAAGUUACAUGAGAUGGGGUGGAUUUGGUAAGGACUCCAGUUAUGCUAGUUUGAUAAUCAGCAGAAGCACACCUCUGUUCCUCAUAAUUUUGCAGUGGAUAUAGAAUCUCAAGGACUGAAAAGAUUAAAGGCCCUCCCAUUUGCACCCCACCCUCACCCCCCAUUGCCACACCAUUCCCAUAUUCAAAGGGCUUUUGCUUUAUAACAGGGACUCCCUCUCCCUGAGAACACAGAUUCGUGUUGGCUGUCCUUUUGUUCUCUUUACCCACAGGUAGCAGUCAAGUCAAGUUUUAUUUCUUUAGACUGAAAGGUUAACCAAAACAAGACUGGAAGACUCAGGUAGACAUAGCCCUUCAACCAACGACAACUCUUGUACUCUGAUUGCCCUGAUAAGGAACAAAUAGAAAAGCUGAUAUCGUGCAAUUUUCAUCUACCAUAAUUAUGAAGAAGUCCAUGGUCUCAGCCAAGAACUCUAAAAGGCAGAGGAAAAAUUAUCUUUCCUCCUCUACACUUCAACAAUGGUUGAGCCAUGGAAACAUUAUGCUGAAUGAAAGAAGCCAGACACAGAAAUUCAUAUAUGGUCAAGAGCAUCAGACUGGGAUGUGGAUUACACAAGUUCAUUAGUAUCUUGAUUCGGCCACUUUCUAGCCAAGGCAGACAAGAGCAGUGAGCGGUUAAAGGCAAAAGAGAUAACAAGCGUUCAACAGCAGCAACUGCUGUUAUGUCCAAGGGCCAGCCCUGAUUCAUCACAAUGGGAUGAACCAGACUGAACGACGACGAGGCUGGGACAAGAUCUAGCCCACUGGACCAGAGCAGGGAGCUGGAAAUGACAGAAGCUGUACAAAUCCACCCAAAGGGAGGAGGCCCAUUCCAACGCAGAAGAACAUCGCACCCAGAAAGAAUGGAAAUGCUAGAUGGAAGCUAGGCAAUCAUCAAAAGCACCAGAUUAGAACCAGUAUAAUGAUGGAUUCCUACACAAACAGUGGGAUUCUACUUCUUGAAUAACCUCUACAGAAAUCAAGAUUACAGUUUCUUAAACCUGAACACGUGAUCCAAGUAUGCUGCAACUCUUUGAAAGUGGCCAGAUUGAAGUAACCUUAAGGUUUACGAAGCAGACCUCCUUGAUUGCCAUAUCACUGGAAGGACUUCUCUUUCUAUAAUUCAAGCUAUCCAAAAGAACUACUGUAAAUGUUUUGUGCACCGCGAGUACCUACAGCCAAGGAAGAAGAAGAGAACAUAGAGGGUGAAAGGAGGGGCAGGAACAAGAAAGGACAGUCGUAGUGUCUAGCUUAUAGAAAGAACCCAAUGUAUGCCUUUAUCCAGGAGCUAGGAAGCCAGAUCAUCAGCUGAGAGUGGGGACAGAGGAGAGGAAGUGCUGGCCCUAAGAGUAAAGAAGAGGCCGGGCUGAAAUAGCUGGAUAGGGAAGAGGAAAUGAAAACUAGGGAAAGACAGCAUGACUAGUGGCAUCAACAGUGCUUACUGCUCGGUAUUGCCUCCGUUCCCACAGGUAUCAAAAUCUUCCUUCGCCCAGAACCUCCCAGCAGCCCUAUUGAUCGAUCUGAGUUGGCAGAUGAGAGAAUGUGUAUUUCCCAGUUCUGAUCUAAUCUGACCUACUCCUACGAAUCCAGACCAGGACCACGCGGUGCCUCUAACUUCAGAGAAAGUGAAGCAACCCCAUUAGUGUGAGGUUUACACAACCUUUGACUCAACGGUCAGUUUCUCUCCCCUCUCCAGUUCCUGCAGGGUAGGCUGCUAGUUUAAUUUUUGUCUCCUGAUUUUUGUUUCUAUGGAUAUGUUAAUGGUUUUACAGGAUCAUUUCCUAUGGUGCAGAGGAACACCUUGGGCCAGUCUCUAUUUUCAAAGUCAGAAAUGCUGUGAGGUCAGGCAGGAUCUCGUGAAUUCUGUAAUACGCUAGAAAUAUCUUCUAAUUUCUUUUUUCGCACUAAUCUGUAAAGGUACCUCAACAGUUUCCCUUCUUUGCCCUGCUGAAACAUUGAUAAAAAAAUAUGCAUCUAGAAAGAGGCCAAUAGAUGUUAGCUCUUAUUAUUUUUAUCCUAUAAUUGCUGAAGCUAAUCCUAUUUCAUGGUUUGCAGCCCCCAAACCAAUGGAUGUUCCCUUCUGUCAGGAUCCUAACAAACUUCUCUGCCCUGGUCUGAUACCAGCAACUUGUGUUUAGGUGUUUAUGGCUGGUGGUGGGUUGACCACCACCUUCCUAUAUGCCUUCCACCAUAUAUGCCUUCCUAGUGCAUGUUAUUGCACUAGGUUGACCACCACCUUCCUAUAUGCCUUCCACCAUAUAUGCCUUCCUAGUGCAUGUUAUUUCAUGACCUGACCUCUUCUUCGAGCUUCAGCUGCUUUCGGACUUCUACUCUGUCCUGUAUGGUCUCUCAGAUGCCUCUCUUCCAGACCCUGUUGAGGCAGGUCAAGGUCAUCUUCUGAGUUCAGAGAAUUCUCACUUUUUAGUGAACUGUGAUCCCAAUCUCCACCCUAGACCAUGUACAGGAGCCAAACUAACCACAAGGUCAGGCUUUGCUAAAAUUAUCCCGUCUGUCAGUCUCCUGGCAAACGACUAGUUUGAAGAUUUUAAUCACAACAUUGACACACACAAUGCUAAUUUCAUACAGUUAUGUAACUUAACUGAUAAGCCCAUCUAAGCUUUACCUGCAUGGUAAGAGACCUGCGGUUAAAAAGUGAAACAUAUUAACUAACCAUAUGCUUAAUUUAUAUUUACCCAACAGAAAGCAUUUCUGAAAUCUGAAAUAAACAAACAUGGGGUGAAGGGAUUGCGUGAAGGCAGGUCUUCACAUCCAGAACCAAUAUUAAGAGCAAGAGAACAACUAAUUUGUCUCAGUGGGGUAGCAAAGGGACACAGCCUUCAGAAUGUCAUGGGAGAUUAUAUUUCAACGACUUACAGUUAAUUUGAAAACUGACUUAGCUCUGGCCCUAUUAUUAAUGACAGUUUCAAUCAAUGACCAUUUUGUAUCUAAAUUUCACUUUAUCUGUGUUUCUCCUCUCUUCUACCUAUUAGGAUUCCUGGACUACUUGACUUACAUUAAAAAUGUUCUAGUUUCUGUGGCUAGUUGUGUUUUGCUUUGAUAAACUCAUUGCAAAGUGUGUGUAAUUGUUGCAUUGCGAACAAGGGAAUGGCAAUAAAUUUAGGCAUAGCAUUUUUGAACAAAAUACAAGCAGCUUGAAAAACUGUUUCUGAAUGACAAGAAAUUUGGCAUGACCAAGUAGGUGAAAAGUACCAUUAUACAUCUUUAUGUAUUGAAGUUUAUGUCUAUAGAGCAAAGGGAGAAAAAGAGGAAGCAUACUGCAGGUAUUAGCCUGUGUACUUUUCUGAUUUUACGGAUGAUCACAUUUAUCUAGGGCCUAUAAUACUUUAUAAAAGAUGAAAACAUUCUUGUGGGAGGAAAAAACCAAUUAACUUCCUUGCUUGCAGAGAUGGGUAACCUUGUUUCUUCUCUCUUAGAUUUCAGUAGGACACCCCCAUCUUUGGAUGAAAAAUGCUGACCGGUGUGUUCUGGGAAUCUUGGCUCACCCCGAGGCUAAUGAGCACAGUGUCCUGGCUGUGUGCCCAGCUUUUGUGGCAGGGAGUUACCCCCAGUGCUUUUUUUAACUUACACUAAAGUUUGGACUUAGAAAGCAAGAUCUGCCAGCGCAUCAGAGGAAAUAGGGCUUUCCCUCUAUAACCAUCGACAUCAAAUUCUAUUUCUACCUGCAGCCCUGGAAUCAGCCUCUUUGGUCUGAUUUAAUCGCCAUAUUCACACCCAUCUCUGUUGGCGAAGUUAAAGAGGGAAGAGUGCGGGUAGGACUCUUCUAGUUUGGGGGAACCCAAUCUAUGUGCCCCUUUCAAUGGGGACGCAGGAGAGGGGUGGGGUCGUGGGGAUGAGUCCUAAGGAGUGUAUAUAUGCACCGAGGAGGAAAGGCAGAGCAUGUGACACAAAGGGCAAGUGCAGGAGAGUAGCUCUCACUUGACCUUGUUAGGCUUCCUGCGUGGAAUUAAAUUUCAGAAACUGGCAAGGCUCGCAAGGAGUAAUUACUGCAAUUGCCUCACCCCCUACUGUCAGCACAUGGCAAGGUUUGCUGCGGGUAGGGCAGCAGGCAGUUCUUUCCGAACAUUUCAAAAUAUUGGUAACAUUUUCUUAAAUUUCUCACCAACCCACAGAGAUGAUUUGGAGGCACCCGAACUCUUCUGUCCAAGUCAAGGCGCAGAAAGUAUCCCAAAGCAGCAGGACUAGAAAUGCAGUGACAAUGUACGCUUUCAGCCUCCUUCCAUCAUGCUCUCUGGUAUCCAACGCGACCGAACGGCAUUUUUACAAAGGCCCCAAGCACCAAAAUUACAAGUAGAUAUUAGCGUUCACUCUGCCUAUGCGCAGACAACAUACACAGAUACGCCUCCGUGGGAAUUCACGUACAUAGAAGCAGCAAGAUGGAGCCAGUUUUAGCUUUGGGGGCCACGGGAUGAUGUGGAAAAGCCUGCCGUCUACACCGGCGUGGCACUGGAAUGACAGCCAGAUGGAAGCAGCUGCAGCCGCCUGAGAAACAAAGCUGGAGAAUUUGACAGCAGAAGCAAGCGGCUGCAGCCCAAAUCCCCCGGGUGUCAAGAGCCCUGCUGUGGGGCCUGGCGAAGGCAGUCGUGGAUUGGCACCACUGAAAUCAUGGGUUUCGCUAAAUGGCUUGCCUUUUAUGAACCUUUGAGAAAGGGAAAGCAAGUGUUCUCUCAUGUAUUCAAGCCGUUAUUUGUUGAAAGGCUACUAUGGGUCAGUCACGAUUCAUUUCAUAAUGGUUAUAUGCUAAAAUGCUCACAUGUUAAUAAAUUGUAUUUAUUUUUUAAUGUUUAUUUAUUUUGAGAGGGAGAGAGAGAGAGAGCAUGCUUGUGAGCAGAGGAGGGGCAGAGAGAGAGAGAGAG